CGGCGGACGGGUGAGUAACGCGUGGGUAACCUGCCCUGUACACACGGAUAACAUACCGAAAGGUAUGCUAAUACGGGAUAACAUAAGAAAUUCGCAUGUUUUCUUAUCAAAGCUCCGGCGGUACAGGAUGGACCCGCGUCUGAUUAGCUAGUUGGUGAGGUAACGGCUCACCAAGGCGACGAUCAGUAGCCGACCUGAGAGGGUGAACGGCUACAUUGGGACUGAGACACGGCCCAA
This 237-nucleotide ribosomal RNA is filed under the name uncultured bacterium. Its description in RNAcentral is "partial 16S ribosomal RNA". It matches the Rfam family "Bacterial small subunit ribosomal RNA", at positions 96 to 334 of the family's 1533-position model. The record is from RNAcentral.